GGAGGACAAGACUAACAAGAAUGAGAAAAAUAAUGUGUUGCACUAUCAUGAUUGUUUCUCAUGGAGAAAGAGGAAGGUGCACUCUUCUUUGCUAUAGCAGAACUUCCUUUGUUUAAGCAGUCUGAGCAGAGAAGAUACAACCCAUCAUGAACCUUACCAAUCUCCAGAUGCCUCUUCAUAGAAGGGGUCUGCAGAAGACAUCAUGUGUUAGAGAAAGAAGCUAGACAUUUGAGAUGUGUUGUUAAUGAACUGAUAGAGAUAAGAUUGUAUUUGAAAGAAGGAACAAAUAGGCACAGUUCUCACUUCUGCUACUUUGACUUUGUAAGCAUUUGGUAGUUUCACAAGUAAAGGAUAUGAUAGUGCAAUUAUAUUCUGUAGGUAUGUCUUGUUAAAGGUCAUGUGGUAUGAAGCUCUUGAGUCUAGAAUCCAUAAGUCAGCCUUUGCUUGAAAGCGCUUGCAUGAGAGUUUGUCAAAAUCUAUAGAAGAAGUGCAAGUCACAAUACCUGCAAAGUUUCCUGCAAACUUUAUUGUUCCAUUGGCUGCAUUUGUAUUACUUGAAGUAUCUCCUGCACCAUCACUUUGGAAAUGUUGAAGCAGCCUCACUACUUGGUCAUAUUGCUCCUUUGAAAGAUUCAUGUUUUGGUUAUUGUUACUUCCCUGAUGCUCCAGAUCUUCUCCUUGGUUUGUCAUUGCAUCUGGUGGCAUGCCUUGCACACCAGUUACAGCAUUUGCUGCAAUACUCUUUCCUUUGUUAUUCCUGGGAUACUGAUUGUGAUUUUGGGUAUUCAAAUUAUGGUUCUAGGCUUCUUGUCGAUUGAAGUUUUGUGGAUAUCCAUAAAGUUUGAAACAUUUGUCUUUGGUGUGUCCUAGUAUUUUGCAAAAGUCACAAAAGGGCCUGGGCCUAGUGUUGUUUACUGAGUAAUUUGUUCUGAAUCCUCUUGGAGUUGUUGUACCAGCAUUCAUUGCAGUAGAUUCAAAAUUCAGUUGAUUUCUAGGUCAAAAUUCUCUUUGUUUCUCCUCUUGCACCAGAAGUGCAAAGGCUUGUGCCAUUGAAGGCAAGAGAUUCAACAUCAGUAUGCUCCCUCGAACUAUAGUAUAAACCUCUUUCAAAGCCAUCAGAAAUUGUAUCAAUCUUCUGUCCUGUUCAACUUUGUGCAUGUUUUCCUUUGCAUCACAGGUACACUGACAGCUGCAGAGGGAUUUUGCUCUGAGAUUGGUUAACUCUUCCCAUAGUUUCUUCAUUUUAGUAUAGUAUCCAGUAAUGGCGGGUACUCCUUGACUCAAAUCAUCAAUCUCCUUUUGGAUCUGGUAUAGUUUUGCCCCAUUUGUUUGAUCAUAAUGAUCUUCAAUUCUUUUUACAAUUCAACUGAAUUAUUCACAUACUCUACACUAUCCGCAAUAUCUUUAGCAAGUGAAUUCAAAAUCCAUGAAGUUACCAUAUCGCCACGUCUCUCCCAUUAUCUAAAGUUUAACGACUUCGAAUUAGGUUUUUCACAUUCCCCAGUGACGAAACCUAAUUUGUUCUUAAUAGAGAGGGCCCUCAAUACACCUCUCCUCCAUGAAAGAUAUACUAGCCCAUCAAAAGGAACUAGAACUAAAACCAGUCCAGGACUGUCAGAAGGAUGAAUAUAAAGCGGACUACUUACAUCGAUUGUCGAUUGGAUCUUUGCUGUUGUCACAGUAAUAGUAUUUGGGUCGUCUACCGCCAUGAUUAGUUUAGCUUGAAGCAGAAAAUGAAAGAGGACAAACACCGAUUGAACGAGUGAAUGAAGAUGUAGAGAACCUCAAUUAAAUGAGUGCAGCUUCGAUUUGUUUGUUUGCUUGAGGAUUGAUAUCACACCAAAAUGAACCCUAAUUUUGAGCACGAAGACGGCAGUACCCUGCGCAAUUCAAUUAUACGGAUCGCUUAGUCGUGAUAACUGCUCUGAUACCAUGUCAAGCUUUGGAAUUACAAGCUUAUAAAGCUUCACAGCUACAAUGGAGGAAGCAAUUAGAAGCUUACAGAAUAUCGAUUGAAGAAGAGGAGAAACAGAGAUGAAGUCUCUAAUUGAGAAAAGUGAAACUCAAACUCAAUUAUGCUGCAGAGUAGUUCUUAUAUACAGUGAGUACUAAGCUAACUAACUAAUCCGGAAAUGACAACUAAUAGACAGCUAAGCAUUAACUAACAACCAACUAACAGCUAAUAAUAACUGACUAAAGCAACAAUAAUAACUAACUACUGAAUAAAUACAAUUCUAAUCUUAAUAAAAACUACUCCAAAUCAUUGAUUGAGUCGAUAGUGAUAUGACACAAUGGAGCUUAUAUAGGAACUUGAUCUCUCUCAUAAUGCUUAGCAUCGCUUAUGUUAAAGAGCACACAUGCCUUUCACAUGAGUGGCAACACAAAAAUAAAAAGCUUGAAAGUUUGUCCGUAAAAUAAGGUCCCAAAUUGACCUGUGUUUUUGCAUCUCUUCAUAAUCUAGCUCUGAAUCUUCUCUUAAAUGACUGUGUUGAUCUUUGCAAAGAGUUCCAUGAGUUCUGGAGGAAUUGAAGAUUUCAAGUUGCCGUAAUUCCUUCUAAAUUCCUGUUCCCAAUGGACAAUAUCGUUUGACUUCUCUCCGAUUGGUUUCUAUAGAUGGUUCUAAUGAAAUUAGCAGUUUGUCAAGUGGAAUGCUAGAGUGUUGUCCGUUCUUUUGAGCAUUUGACAAUGGGUCCUUUCGAGCUUCCUACGUCUUCUAACUUUUUCUUAUAAAUCACCUUUAAUACAUUUUUUGCCACAAGGAAUAUAAUGACUUUGUUUGCUUGUAAAUGGAAAUCAAAUCUUGCAAAUAUCCAUAUUCUUACUCCAUAUCACUUGCCAACAUUUAUAGUGUAACACUAACUGUAUACCCUAUCAUACACCUUGCACCCUUACUAUAUGUUAUGUACUUCUAUUAUACCUAAACAACCACGGGAAAAUAUUUUUGUUGGAAUUAUUUUCCUUUAUAAGAAACACAACUGAGUUUACUCAUAUGGUCUUAUUGGCUAAUGUUUGAUAUAAUCCAGUUGUUGUUACUUCCGUGAUGUGAUGAGUCGAGUAUUUCAAAUGAUUAUUGUAAAGACCCGAGCGACCAUUUUGAGAUUUGUAGCUCAGUUCCCCCAUUUACUGCUCAUUUCAUGCUUUUCAGUUGUUAUAUGACUCGCUGGGGUAGUUGGUUCGGGUCCGGAGAAGUUUCGGAAUUAAUUGAGACACUUAGUCUCAAAGUUGGAAGCUUAAGUUAAAAAGGUUGACCGGAUGUUGACUUAUAUGUAAACAACUCAGGAUUGGAGUUUUGAUGGUUCCGUUAGCUCCGUUGGAUGAUUUUGAACUUAGGAGCUUAUCCGGAUUGUGUUUUGGAGGUCCGUAGUUGAAUUAGGCUUGAAAUGGUGAAAAUUGGAAAUUUGGAAGUUUGACCGAGAGUGGACUUUGUGAUUACUAGGCUUGGAUUGGAGUUCUAGGAGUUGGAGCAGGUCUGUGGUGUCAUUUGUGACUUGUGUGCAAAUUUUAGGGUCAAUCGGACGUGAUUUAAUAGGUUUCGGUGUCGUUUGUUGAAGUUGGAAUUCCUUAGUUUCAAUAGGCUUGAAUUGGGGUGUGAUUCGUGUUUUUGAUGUUGUUUGAGGUGAUUCGAGGGCUCGACUAAGUUCAUAUCGUGUUUUAGGACUUGUUGGUACGUUUGGUUGAGGUCCGGGGGACAUUGGGUUGAUUUCAGAAGGUUAACGAAUCGAAAAUGAGACUUAGUACGUUGCUGAAGUUGGGAGUUUUCUAGUGUAAUCGCACCUGCGAGGGGUUGGCCGCAGGUGCGGCUGGAUCGGUGUAGAAGCGAGGUUGGCUUAAGCUGAGGGAUUUCCAUAGGUAUGAAAGAUUUGUCCGCACUUGUGAGGUCGCAGAUGCGGAGAGGCAUAACAGGUGCGCAUAUGAGAGAGGAAGCCUAAAGGCGCAGGUGGAAAGUAAAUCCGCCGGUGCGGAUGCGCAUCUACGCAUGAGAGACCGCAGAAGCGGAGGUGGUCUGGGGGUUCUAGUUCGCAGAAGCGGGAUUGCAGAUACGGUCAAAUGGAGCGCAGGUGCGAGACCCCUGGACAGAACCUUAAAUUCAAGGGUUCACGAUUUUUCUUCAUUUUGAACAUUUCAAACUCGAGAUUGAGCGAUUUUUAAGAGGAUUUUCGAGGGGUUUCUUGAGGUAAGUCACUUGUGCUCAUUUUUGUUUGAUAGUCUUGUUUCCCCAUUGAAUUUCCCGCCUAGUUUGUGUGUAUUUAAGGUGGAAGUUGGGAGUUAGGUAUUUGGAGAGUUUGAUUUGGGAUUUGGGUGGAGAUUUGGUGUCGGAUUUUGGUAAAUUUGGUAUGGUUAGAUUUGUGGUUGAAUGGGCUUUCGGAUUUUGUGACUUUUAUCGAAUUUCGAGACGUGAGCUUUGAGUCAACUUUUGACUUUUGAUUGAUAACUUAGUGUUUUCUUAUGGAAUUAAUUUACCGAACUGCUUGUGGGCUCGUGUUGAUUGUACCGAACUGCUUGUGGCUACAUUCAGAUAUUUGGAGGCCGAUUCGCGAGGCAAGAGCAUGUUGGAGUAGGGAUUUGCACGAUUUGAGGUAAGUAACAGCUCUAAAUUUGGUUUUGAGGGUACGAAACCCCGUAUUAUGUGUCAUGUGAUUGAUUUUGAGGUGACCCACAUGCUAGGUGACGGGCGUGUGGGCGUGCACCAUAAGAAUUGUAACUUUGCUAAUUCUAUAUAACUUUAUAGUUGAAUAAUAUGUUGUUCUCCGUAUAUUCUCCAUGUGUUAGAGAAAUUGAACUACAAAUCAUGUCAGAAAUCAUGUUUAGGCUAUGUGUUGGUACUGUAGGGACCCACGGAGGCCGUGUUGCAUGUUGAAUUAUCUGCUAAUUGCUUCUUGUAAUCAGUCACAGUUUACUUGCAUAUUAUAUCUCAGUCUCUAUUGUUCUUCAUUGAUGCAUUAUAUCAUUGUUGUUUGGGCUGAUUAUCAUGAUUUCUGAGAGUACGAGAGACUGGAUAGGUUGAUGACUGAGUGAGGUCGAGGGCCUGCUUGUGAGGAUAUUUAUGGGAUCGGGUUGCACGCCGCAUCAUGUUUUAUUGAUUUAUGCCAUUAUUGGCUUAUUACAGUGCUUGGCCUGAGGGAGCUCCUUCGGAGUCUGUACACCCCCCCCCCAAUGAACGCAGGUAUCUGCUGAGUGUGAGUGACAAACGCAAGUGUCGAGCGACUGAGAGGAAUGGAAGAAUGUGAGGAAUGAGUGACUGUGAGGUUGGAGUGAAUGGGAGGACUGAGUAAUUGUUACUCUAAGAUGAUGCAUUUGAUUUCAUUACUGUUGCACUUUAGAUGGCAUAUAUCAUUGUCCUGUAAUUUCUAAGAGAUAUUAUAUCCUGUUUUAAUUGAACUUGACAUGAAUUAACAGGUUUGGCCUUAAUUUCGAACUUGAAAGCAUGUUGAUGUUUAGCUUAAAGCACACAUAUAUAUAUAUUUCUAUGUAUAUCGUCUCAUAUUUUACUUUUGUUUCGUGAAUUUAGGAUGUCAAAUCCUAUGACUUAUGUUAAUUUGAAGUGUUUUUAUGUGUAGGAAUGAUUCGGGAGCAAUUGGGGGCGAAACGCGCAACAUUUGAUCCAAAACGAACAAAACCGGACGAAUUGAGCAUUUGGGCGCCACAGGCAGCGCCUGGCGCCACCUGUGGCGCUGGAGGUAGAAUGGAAGUUUGAGGCAGUGCCCUGGUGGGAGCCUGGCGCUACCCAGGGUGCCGGUGACGUGAUUUUGUCCAAUUUCGCCUGGGACAAGGUUAUUUCAGCCCUAGACCUACCCAACACGUAUAAAAGCAAGACUAAAUAUAUUUUUGGAGGGGAGACGCCACUUUGGAGAUAUCUAACAUACUUUGAAGGGGAAUUCACGUGGAGGAAGACACAUCACGCCUGGAGGAGGCUUCUAACUAGUUUUUCUUCUCUUCUCUUCCUUUAAUUUCAUAGUUUAUUAGUUUUAGAGUUUUGGGUGCUACAUGAACGUUGUAGUUUGAAGCUUAGAUUGUUCUUAUUAUUUUAUCAUAUUGGUUUAUUUAUUUAAUCUUUGUCACACCUCCCUUUUUCUUCACCCCCCUCCCGAGAGGGUAUAAGGGAGUUUUUCCAAUUUAAGUGACAAUCGAAACGAGAUNNNNNNNNNNNNCUUGAUUUUAAUACAUAUUUUAGCCUAUGGUUCAAUUUUAACCUUAUAACCGCUUUUAUUUAAAUAUUUUUAAGGAAGAAUCAACGUCAUCUAAAACACAUCUUGAACCUGUCACAUAAAUGCACCCGCGGUCCACGACACAUUUUAUUUAACGUUGUUGAGAUUUGGAUUUGGGUCACAUAAAUGCACACCCGAGUUUAGGAAGGUAAAUUAUUAAACUAACGCGCCUAAAGCAACUACGAAAUUCAUUUUUUUAACGGCAUAAGUAUGCUCCUAACAAUCAAAUUACUAAAUCAGAACCAGAGAAUUCCAGCAGAAAAUUAUUUGUACAGGAGCUUGAAUUGUUUAACCUGCAAUUCUGUAACAUUACGCGUAGACCGAGAUUCCACCAUAAUUUGAGCCAAAAGAAGCUGCCUCUCUCAGAAUAAACUAGGAAGAAAUUUAAGGGACUAAGACCAUGACCCUCAUUCACUUACUGAUGGCUGGAAAUUGAACAUGCACAUCACGCAAAUGCAACAAAUAUAAUGGGAAGUGAAAAUCGACCAAGAAUGUAUAAAGGCAUUUAUUAUGGUUCAGCUCAGUCCCUAUGUUGCUGUCCAACAAUAUACCGUUGAGUAAAGGGAAUUCACUAUAGGAGAACUUCAAGUUCAUUAAGUAACAUGAACUCAACAACACUAUACAUCAGCAAGGCACAAAUAUAAAAAUCGGAAUCAGAAAUGGACCUGAGUGAAGCAAUAUCAAACUUGCAAUAUAUAAAUGUCCUUUAGGAAAGUUGAAUAACAGCUACUACAACACGUCCGCGAUGGAAGACCUCGUCGGAAACCUCGACGCACCUCUGACCGGAAACGGAACCUCAACAAAAGACCGGCGAUAACCUCGAACUAAAAUGACGCCAGUACCACAGCAAUGGCGACACUGGAGCAACAAUCGACGUGACACACACGAAGAACUCGCCAGAAAAAUAACUCUGGCCAAACUCGACACAAAACGUCACAAAAUCUAGGACUUGAAAGAUCUCAACUCGUCCGACGUAGAAGUACAACACACUAGUUUAUUUGAAACCCGUUUUUAGAGCUAACAUCAGAGAUUGGGAGUGAAGAAAGCAGAACAUUUUUGUUUUUGACUCUGUGUGUGGAGGUCGACAGUCUUCAUGGAGUCUCGCCGGUUUUCAUGGUGUUGUCCUCAUGAAGAAGAAAACCAGGUUAGGGGGGAAGGGUCGUGUAUUCCGGUUGAAGAAGAAGCCGAACGUGGGAUCGUUGUUUGGGUGUAACGGCGGGUUCGCCGCUGGUGGUAAGAGGAGGAGUGAAGGGUCGUGUGGGGUGGGGGAAAUAGAGAAGACGAUGUCAGGGGGGUAGGUCCGAUCUGCGGCGCUGAUUUUGAUUAAAGUCUUAGGCUAGCGUAUUUUUUGUGUGUCCUCAUUUCAGGCGUUAGUCUACAUUGUAUAGGUCUAGG
Molecule: long non-coding RNA, 7601 nt
Filed under: Nicotiana tabacum (common tobacco)
Lineage: Eukaryota; Viridiplantae; Streptophyta; Magnoliopsida; Solanales; Solanaceae
Description: long non-coding RNA (NTAB_LNC003539)
Source: RNAcentral